GGACUACUCGGGUUUCUAAUCCUGUUUGAUCCCCGCACUUUCGAGUCUCAGUGUCAAUGUUGGGCCAGACCGCCGCCUUCGCCACCGGUGUUCCUCCAGAUAUCUACGUAUUUCACCACUACACCUGGAAUUCCACGGUCCUCUCCCACAUUCAAGCUUAACAGUAUCAAAAGCACUUCCUGGGUUAGGCCCAGGGCUUUCACUCCUGACUUGAAAAGCCACCUACACUCGCUUUACGCCCAAUGAUUCCGAGCAACGCUUGGACCCCUCGUAUUACCGCGGCUGCUGGCAC
RNAcentral lists this ribosomal RNA (292 nucleotides) under uncultured bacterium. RNAcentral's name for it is "partial 16S ribosomal RNA". The record is from RNAcentral.